CCAGCCCGUAAAGGUGUUACAGAUGUGACUACUGUGUCACAUGUGUGUCAUUAGGUGUCAGAGUAGACAGGCCUGUCUAUACCAAGUGUUCUAACCCAUUUGCAACUGGAUGAUUGAUAGUCUGAAAAA
Erinaceus europaeus (western European hedgehog) is the source of this 129-nucleotide small nucleolar RNA. The record is from Ensembl. Lineage: Eukaryota; Metazoa; Chordata; Mammalia; Eulipotyphla; Erinaceidae.